AUACGGAGGGUGCAAGCGUUACUCGGAAUCACUGGGCGUAAAGCGCGCGCAGGCGGUCUUUGAAGUUGGAUGUGAAAGCCUACGGCUCAACCGUAGAACUGCAUCCAAAACUAUUAGACUAGAGUGUGGGCGAGGAAGAUGGAAUUAGUUGUGUAGGGGUAAAAUCCGUAGAGAUAACUAGGAAUACCAAAAGCGAAGGCAAUCUUCUGGAACACUACUGACGCUGAGGUGCGAAAGCGUGGGGAGCAAACAGGAUUAGAUACCCGAGUAGUCC
Molecule: ribosomal RNA, 274 nt
Filed under: uncultured bacterium
Lineage: Bacteria
Description: partial 16S ribosomal RNA
Rfam family: Bacterial small subunit ribosomal RNA
Source: RNAcentral